This 113-nucleotide ribosomal RNA is filed under the name Mesocricetus auratus (golden hamster). Lineage: Eukaryota; Metazoa; Chordata; Mammalia; Rodentia; Cricetidae. The record is from RNAcentral.
AUCUAUGGCCAUAUCACACAGAACAUGCCGGAUCAUGUGUGAUCCCGGAAACUAAGCAGGGUCGGGCCUGGUUGGCACUGGAAUGGGACAACGGGCUAAGGCGCAUGUUGCUU